UGUGACUCGUCACACUAUCAUUAACUGAAUCCAUAGGUUAAUGAGGCGAACCGGGGGAACUGAAACAUCUAAGUACCCCGAGGAAAAGAAAUCAACCGAGAUUCCCCCAGUAGCGGCGAGCGAACGGGGAGGAGCCCAGAGCCUGAAUCAGCAUGUGUGUUAGUGGAAGCGUCUGGAAAGGCGCGCGAUACAGGGUGACAGCCCCGUACACAAAAGCGCAUGUGCUGUGAGCUCGAUGAGUAGGGCGGGACACGUGGUAUCCUGUCUGAAUAUGGGGGGACCAUCCUCCAAGGCUAAAUACUCCUGACUGACCGAUAGUGAACCAGUACCGUGAGGGAAAGGCGAAAAGAACCCCGGCGAGGGGAGUGAAAAAGAACCUGAAACCGUGUACGUACAAGCAGUGGGAGCACCCUUUGGGUGUGACUGCGUACCUUUUGUAUAAUGGGUCAGCGACUUAUAUUCUGUAGCAAGGUUAACCGAAUAGGGGAGCCGGAGGGAAACCGAGUCUUAACCGGGCGUUAAGUUGCAGGGUAUAGACCCGAAACCCGGUGAUCUAGCCAUGGGCAGGUUGAAGGUUGGGUAACACUAACUGGAGGACCGAACCGACUAAUGUUGAAAAAUUAGCGGAUGACCUGUGGCUGGGGGUGAAAGGCCAAUCAAACCGGGAGAUAGCUGGUUCUCCCCGAAAGCUAUUUAGGUAGCGCCUCGUGAAUUCAUCUCCGGGGGUAGAGCACUGUUUCGGCUAGGGGGCCAUCCCGGCUUACCAACCCGAUGCAAACUGCGAAUACCGGAGAAUGUUAUCACGGGAGACACACGGCGGGUGCUAACGUCCGUCGUGAAGAGGGAAACAACCCAGACCGCCAGCUAAGGUCCCAAAGUCAUGGUUAAGUGGGAAACGAUGUGGGAAGGCCCAGACAGCCAGGAUGUUGGCUUAGAAGCAGCCAUCAUUUAAAGAAAGCGUAAUAGCUCACUGGUCGAGUCGGCCUGCGCGGAAGAUGUAACGGGGCUAAACCAUGCACCGAAGCUGCGGCAGCGACACUGUGUGUUGUUGGGUAGGGGAGCGUUCUGUAAGCCUGCGAAGGUGGCCUGUGAGGGUUGCUGGAGGUAUCAGAAGUGCGAAUGCUGACAUAAGUAACGAUAAAGCGGGUGAAAAGCCCGCUCGCCGGAAGACCAAGGGUUCCUGUCCAACGUUAAUCGGGGCAGGGUGAGUCGACCCCUAAGGCGAGGCCGAAAGGCGUAGUCGAUGGGAAACGGGUUAAUAUUCCCGUACUUGGUGUUACUGCGAAGGGGGGACGGAGAAGGCUAUGUUGGCCGGGCGACGGUUGUCCCGGUUUAAGCGUGUAGGCUGGUUUUCCAGGCAAAUCCGGAAAAUCAAGGCUGAGGCGUGA
Molecule: ribosomal RNA, 1388 nt
Filed under: Salmonella enterica subsp. enterica serovar Enteritidis
Lineage: Bacteria; Pseudomonadati; Pseudomonadota; Gammaproteobacteria; Enterobacterales; Enterobacteriaceae
Description: partial 23S ribosomal RNA
Rfam family: Bacterial large subunit ribosomal RNA
Source: RNAcentral